RNAcentral lists this transfer RNA (62 nucleotides) under Ovophis okinavensis (himehabu). RNAcentral describes it as "tRNA-Lys". Lineage: Eukaryota; Metazoa; Chordata; Lepidosauria; Squamata; Viperidae. The record is from RNAcentral.
CACUAAGAAGCUUAUAUAGCGUCAGCCUUUUAAGUUGAAGAGGAAAUUACUUUCCUUAGUGA